This 510-nucleotide ribosomal RNA is filed under the name uncultured bacterium. RNAcentral's name for it is "partial 16S ribosomal RNA". It matches the Rfam family "Bacterial small subunit ribosomal RNA", at positions 28 to 507 of the family's 1533-position model. The record is from RNAcentral.
GACGAACGCUGGCGGCGUGCUUAACACAUGCAAGUCGAACGAAGAGCGAUGGAAGCUUGCUUCUAUCAAUCUUAGUGGCGAACGGGUGAGUAACGCGUAAUCAACCUGCCCUUCAGAGGGGGACAACAGUUGGAAACGACUGCUAAUAACGCAUACGAUCUAAUCUCGGCAUCGGGACUGGAUGAAAGGUGGCUUCUAUUUAUAAGCUAUCACUGAAGGAGGGGAUUGCGUCUGAUUAGCUAGUUGGAGGGGUAACGGCUCACCAAGGCGAUGAUCAGUAGCCGGUCUGAGAGGAUGAACGGCCACAUUGGGACUGAGACACGGCCCAGACUCCUACGGGAGGCAGCAGUGGGGAAUCUUCCGCAAUGGACGAAAGUCUGACGGAGCAACGCCGCGUGAGUGAUGACGGCCUUCGGGUUGUAAAGCUCUGUUAAUCGGGACGAAUGGUUCUUGUGCGAAUAGUGCGAGGAUUUGACGGUACCGGAAUAGAAAGCCACGGCUAACUACGUG